Molecule: long non-coding RNA, 1997 nt
Organism: Megalobrama amblycephala (Wuchang bream)
Lineage: Eukaryota; Metazoa; Chordata; Actinopteri; Cypriniformes; Xenocyprididae
Exons: 3
Source: RefSeq, a predicted model, not a curated record
UUUGGUCAUUCAAAAAAGUCUCUGGAACCUGAAAAAAGCACUUGCAAACUAAUUAAAAGGCCUGUGGUGAGAGCAUACAUUUAUAAUCUUUUUACAAUGGUACAUGUUGCCAGUGUAUUUUUCUUAAAUUUAUCAUUAUAACGAGUGACAAGACAUAAGAGAAAAGGCAAACAUUUUCUUUAUUUUCUUGCCUAGAAGUUAGAAAUAAUAUUCUACCUGAUUGUUUUUGUCUGUGUACAAGGACAUGGAUGUUGCUGGAGAGGAUGCUACCUCAAUAGAGGGACAUGUGAAAGUCUUACAGGACCAAUAUCAAAAGACACAGCCAGAUGCUCGCAUUGUUGAAGAGCGAAUGAGGAGGACCUUUGCCUGGAGGCAUAAGGAGAUUACUUGUGGGAUGACUGUUGAAGAUGCUGUCAACAAAUAUUCAUUCUUGAAGAGUUCAUCAGGGGUAAGUGUGGAAAUUAUGAAAGUACACAAACCCAUUAACAUGUAGGACACUGAAACUGUAUAAAAAAUCCUGACUUUCUUAUGUUUGUGUCUUUUUAACAAAUUUCAGCUUUAUCAAGAAAUUUGUUUCCUGUACAAGUCUGUUAAUCUUUGCCAGCACUUUCAAGAAAGCUUUGGAAACAUUGCAUCCAGUGUGCUACAGCUUGCUUGCGGGAAAUCUCUUUUAGCAAAGCCGCUCAUAGAAGCUAGAGAAGAAUCUCUUGUUAAAGACCAUCAUGGAAUUGAUUUCAAAGCAGCACUUCUCAUGUUGCCAGUCUAGUUCAGAGAGAAGCUUGAACACGUCAUUGUGCUUGGGGAGAGUGACCCAUCUUCACCAUAUCCAACUGUUCAAGUACAGGAAACCACUGACUGGAAAACUGUGCUUACAAGAAGAGUCACUGCUGUCAUCAGAGUUGAUGGGAUAGAGAUCUGCCGGGUUAGCGGUGUGGACGAAGGGGUUCUUGCUGCAUUCUGUGCCUAUUUCGUCUUCAAUUUGACAUAUCCACCUCACUUGAAGAACACUCUGGUGUUUCUUCAACGGUAUGUUUUGAAACUUACUGUGGAUGGUGACAAGCCUCUACCUACUCCAGUUACCAGAGUAAUCAACCUUUUACAGUAACAUCUGCAAAAAUGCCUCGCCCGUUCUGUUGUCUCAAAUGCUCUCGGAGAACAUUCACAAUUGUCAAAUUAAUCCAGCACAUUGGUCUCAUUCAUGCACACGAGGCAAAUUUUUCAAUAACUUGUGGUCUUAAUGACUGUCAGAGAACAUUUUCAAAGUACGAGUCCUUUAGAUGUCAUGUUUAACGAAAGCAUAAACAUACAGUGUUACAACGGACUAUGACUGAUGAUCCUCUUCCUUUCUUUGAGGAUGUUGAGGAAGAAUGUCCUAAUGAUAGUGUUGCACUGUCUGCCCCCCCUCCAAACAUGAAGGAGCUGUUUCAGCAAUUAAGAGAGAACCUAUGUGCCUUUGUUCUGAAAUGCAGAGAAAAAAAAUCACCUGCCUCAGUCAGUGCAGCAAGAAAUUUUAGAUGACGUUAAUUUCUUAUUUAGUUUUUUCAAAGAGAACUAUGAUGCAUUUCUUGCUUAUCAUCUAAAACAAAAUGGAUUUGAUCUUGCUGCAUCCCCAGAACUUCAAGAAGUGCUACAGUCCCCUGACUUUUUUUCAGAGGCCUCGAGACUUGUUAGGUCUCCACACAUGUUCAAAGAGUAUUGCAAAUCAAAAUUUGAGUUGACUGAGCCUGUGCAGUAUACACUAAGAGACUCGUAAUAAGGUGAUAAGACUGGAAGUUACUCGUACAUUCCUAUAUGUGAGGUAUUGAGAAAAUACUGUUCCCAUGAGGACAUUUGGGACCAGAUACAAACUGAGUUGAACACUGAAAAAGAUGAACUUGUUCUAAAAGAUUAUCGAGAUGGACUUCAUUUCAAAAACCACAAAUUCUUUGCAAAUAACCCACAAGCUCUGAGACUGCAUCUUUAUGAAGAUGAGUUUGAGGUGUGUAAUCCUCUGGGUU